AUUGAACGCUGGCGGCAUGCUUUACACAUGCAAGUCGAGCGGCAGCGCGGGGGCAACCCUGGCGGCGAGCGGCGAACGGGUGAGGAAUACAUCGGAACGUACCCCGGAGUGGGGGAUAACGCCGCGAAAGCGGCGCUAAUACCGCAUAUGCUCUGAGGAGGAAAGUGGGGGACCUGCAAGGGCCUCACGCUCUGGGAGCGGCCGAUGUCCGAUUAGCUAGUUGGUGGGGUAAAGGCCCACCAAGGCGACGAUCGGUAGCUGGUCUGAGAGGAUGAUCAGCCACACUGGGACUGAGACACGGCCCAGACUCCUACGGGAGGCAGCAGUGGGGAAUUUUGGGACAAUGGGGGGCAACCCUGAUCCAGCCAUGCCGCGUGCGGGAAGAAGGCCUGGUGUAACGCUUUAGUCGGU
This 411-nucleotide ribosomal RNA is filed under the name uncultured bacterium. Its description in RNAcentral is "bacterial SSU rRNA". It matches the Rfam family "Bacterial small subunit ribosomal RNA", at positions 28 to 443 of the family's 1533-position model. The record is from RNAcentral.